RNAcentral lists this long non-coding RNA (3412 nucleotides) under Homo sapiens (human). Its description in RNAcentral is "HSALNT0366605". The record is from RNAcentral. Lineage: Eukaryota; Metazoa; Chordata; Mammalia; Primates; Hominidae.
GGCGAUAAAGCUGCCGGAGUCCGCGGCGGCGGAGGCGGCUGCGGCGAGCAAGGAGGCUGACGACGCACAAUGCAAAGACGGCUUUUCAGAGCAGCCAGUGGGGCAGGACAAUGUUUUUCAUCAAAUGUCCUUAGAUUUGGAGGAGGUUUCCCCAGUGUAUCCAGUGGUUGUCUUCCUCUUGAUUAAUAUUAAAGGAGGAGAAAAAGUGUGUAUUGGGGUCAGUGCAGAAAACAAAUCAUCCAAGCACACGAAGUGGAAUUUGCUAAUAGCAUUACUACUCACCCAGUGACUUCGGAGUCACAACCCAGGACACGGUUUUCCGCCCAUUUCUACAGACACAGUGAGAUUCUUCAUUCUUCUCUGUUGGAACAGCCAGGAAAGCGGAAGAGACCUCCAGCUGCACAACGACCUGUCCCCCACACCCAACCACAAGUUUAUGAAGGGAUGCAGAACAGCAUGAAUACUGCAAAAGAUGCUCUGUGCAUCAGAACGUCCAGAAGAGAGAGAUUUAAAUUGCUUUCAGCUAAGCUGUAGACCUCUAGCAGAUGAACGACAUAUUUUCCUGAAGGACUUGCUUCGGUGUGGAAGUGAUUCCGCUGUGAGUUGUGUCUUUUGCGUUGUUGCACUCUUCAUCAUAUUCAUCCGCAGGACCUCCAGCUCUAAAGGGUGUGAAGAGGAUACUGACCCACCAGAAAGAGACCCCACUGCUAGAACGAAUAAGAUGUGCUGAAAGCCGGAGCAUAACUUGGCCAUUCCCAAGAUUUAACAACAAACUAACUACCCAUCAUUAACAGUAAAGAAAGAAAACAAUCAGUAAGAGAUUAUAUAGACCUAAGAGAUGUUACAGACCGAAGAAGAACCUAUGGAGGAAGACAGGAAGAUGAGAGAGAUUUGAAGAUGGUAUGUGGCUGAAUUUGAAGAUAGAGAAAGGAACCGCAAGCAAAGAAUGCAAGAGGUCUCUAGAAGCUGGAAAAGGCAAGGAAAGAGUCUCCCCUCAAGCUCCAGCAGGAAUGCAGUCCUGACACCUUGAGUUUAGCCUAGUGAGACUUCUGACCUCCAGAACUAGAAGAUACAAGUGGUGUUUUAAGGCACUAAAACGAAGAACUAGAAGUAUUGUUUUAAGCCCAUAAAUUUGUGAUAAUCUGUUACAGUAGUAAUAGGCAAUGCAUACACAAGCACACAAAGUAAAAUUUUUCUGUGGUUAUUUUCCAUAUUUUUUCAGUUAUUUUCUGCCUUUUGAAGACAUUAAAGACAUAAAAUGAAUAUGUAUUAGUUUAGGAAUAAAAUUUAAAAUGUAGGAAUGCUAUAAAAGAAGAAAAAAUUUUAACUGGGCUAAAGCAAACCCAGUAUGUCAUCCUAUUACAUCAGCUUCUUCAUCUUUGGAUGAAGAGGUUGGUGACUGUUUCUUCUAAUGUGAGAAUAGCUCCAAAUUGCUAAAUUGUUCAGAAUUUGACAAGAUGAAAGAGGAAAGAAAAAGGAAAUCUUGAAAACAUUUACUGUUUCCUUGUUCAAUGGAUAACACAUGGAUUCCUGAUUGGGAGAUUUUUCCUCUUGCUUUGAUCUGAAGGCAGAAGGAAAUAUAUUCAUUAUUGUUUAAAAGAAUACAUUUUAACCUAACUUUAAAACAUUCAUGAUAUAUUUGUGAACCAUAAUCUUAUUACCCCAACCUAGAAGUUAUUUUGAUCACUAAACUUCCUUUUCAAUAUCUUCAUAUAUGUGUCUUUACAUACUUUAAAUAAAAAAUAUAUAAUUGUAUAACGUUUUAUUAUUUUAUUUAAUAUUUAUCACUUCUAAUAAAUAUAUGUAAAUAUGUAAACAGAAUUUAUGUAUUUUUUCAACAAACAUUUCAAACAUCUACCUUAUGCAAAGCAAUAUAUAGUGAAGGCAGAUAUAAAGUAUAAAUAAGUAUUCUCUAAUAUUGCCUCUAUUUUAAAAAAACUAAAUGUAUUGAGCAUUCUCUAUAUGCCAGGAACUGAACUAAGUAAUUUACUGUUAAUUUACACUAUAAUUCCAUGAAGUAGGUAUUAAUAUUAUCUCCAGGACUAAAGUGAGAUGAUUGACAUUUCUCUUUCCAGAUGAAAUUAGGUAAGUUAUCCAAGGUCAUGUAUCUAGGAAGCAAUAAAUCUAGGAAAUUCAAAUUUAUUGUUAAUUUUUCUAUUUUUUUAUGGAAUUAAGAAAAUGUUAUUUAUAGUUAAUGCUCUUAUACAGAAUUCCCUAUAUUUAACUUUUUCUUCUUAAAAUGACUUAUUUGAGUAACUAUGAGCCUUGGACAUUUUCAAUUUGGGGGCAUUCGUGGGAAUAUUGGCCUCAAAAGUAUCACUCCAAUUUAUAGUCUGCCUGUUAAUAUACCUUUUCCUUGCAAUCACACCAGUCAUGAGCUUUGUAAAAUAAUUAGAAUUGAAUAUUUUUCCAGAAGAUUGUUUAUAAGUUUUAUUUCCUUUUGAAUGAGUUCAUGGUUCUUAGCUUUUGCUUCUUUAUCUACUGAGUUCUAAGAAAACAUUUUCUCUUUGACUAAAAACAUUUUAUCCUAGGCUCUUUCCUCUCCUGCUCAAUAAGUUGCCAUUGGAACUCUGCAAGGAAAAAUUCUAAAAGUUUCAGUGGUGAAUAGAGCAUAAAUGAGAAAUUAAAGCAUUAAUAUUUGUUAGGAAGUAACUUCUCUUCUAGCACAAAAACAAUACAAAAUAUAUUAUUGUUAUCUUAUAAAUGGCAUUACUUAGACAGGAACCCAGCAAUUUUGGAGUCUACACAAUCAGAAGGAGCUACAGUGGGUCUUAUUCUUACCAAAUAGUAGAAGGUUAAUUCUUUUUCAUCCCUGAGAAUCUGUUUAUUCAGAAUGUAGUGUGCUUGAAUCUCCUGGGUUUGUCCACAGGUCAAAGUACCAAUAAUAGGUUUGAGGUGAAUAUAACUCUUGCUUGGGGAAAAAAAAUGCUUUGCAGUAUGAGAUGUUUGCGUAUGAAAUUCAUCAAGCCACCAGUUAUCAGAACAAUUGUUACUCUCUUUGUAUUUGACCUAAUGGAAGAAUAAAUAAGCUGUUUUAUAUAUAAUAUAUAUAUGAUUGCAAAAAUAUAUAAAAAUAUGCAUAUUAUAUAUGUUUGUAUAUAUAUACAUAAAGCAAUAUAAUAAAGCCAUAUAAGAAGGCUGCUUUCUUAAAUAUAGCAGAAUCUGUAAACUGAUUCCCCUCGAGAUCAUUUAAGCUUAUGCUGUACUGAUUUAGUAGAUGUUAUUCAUUCACAAACAAGGUCAAUUACUUUCUCUUAACACGCUAUGGCUGCAAAUUGCAUAAGAACAUUUGAAUAUUCAACACAAAACAAAAUAGUAGUAUGCCAAAGAAACCAAGCAAGAUCUUACUUGUAUUAGAAUCAUAAAAAUAUUCAAUUUUUCAAAGGAAUAUCAAGAUGAUCUAUUCAAUGUC